GACGAACGCUGGCGGCGUGCUUAACACAUGCAAGUCGAACGGUAAGGCCCUUCGGGGUACACGAGUGGCGAACGGGUGAGUAACACGUGAGUGAUCUGCCCUGCACUUCGGGAUAAGCCUGGGAAACUGGGUCUCAUACCGUAUAGGACCAUGCUCUUCACGGGGUGUGGUGGAAGGCGGUUGCGGUGUGGGAUGGGCCCGCGGCCUAUCCGCUUGUUGGGGGGGUAAUGGCCUACCAAGGCGACGACGGGUAGCCGGCCGGAGAGGGUGACCGGCCACACUGGGACUGAGAUACGGCCCAGACUCCUACGGGAGGCAGCAGUGGGGAAUAUUGCACAAUGGGCGCAAGCCUGAUGCAGCGACGCCGCGUGAGGGAUGACGGCCUUCGGGUUGUAAACCUCUUUCAGUAGGGACGAAGCGCAAGUGACGGUACCUACAGAAGAAGGACCGGCCAACUACGUGCCAGCAGCCGCCGUAA
RNAcentral lists this ribosomal RNA (478 nucleotides) under uncultured bacterium. RNAcentral describes it as "partial 16S ribosomal RNA". It matches the Rfam family "Bacterial small subunit ribosomal RNA", at positions 28 to 523 of the family's 1533-position model. The record is from RNAcentral.